UCCGGCCUUAAUGCAUGUCGCCCAAAAGUGUACAGCGGUUUUGGGACAACGACAUGCAUAAAACAAUGACUUAAAGCGCGUCGCAUGAUUCCGAUUUGACGCGACGCGCUUUAGAGCCUUUCCCUGGUCAGCUUUGCUGACAGGAAUAUGAAGA
Molecule: non-coding RNA, 154 nt
Filed under: Rhizobium sp. BK591
Lineage: Bacteria; Pseudomonadati; Pseudomonadota; Alphaproteobacteria; Hyphomicrobiales; Rhizobiaceae
Also listed under: 5 other names
Description: sRNA CI27
Rfam family: Brucella sRNA CI27
Source: RNAcentral